RNAcentral lists this ribosomal RNA (468 nucleotides) under uncultured bacterium. RNAcentral describes it as "partial 16S ribosomal RNA". It matches the Rfam family "Bacterial small subunit ribosomal RNA", at positions 28 to 507 of the family's 1533-position model. The record is from RNAcentral.
GACGAACGCUGGCGGCGUGCUUAACACAUGCAAGUCGAACGGAAAGGCCCUGCUUUUGUGGGGUGCUCGAGUGGCGAACGGGUGAGUAACACGUGAGUAACCUGCCCUUGACUUUGGGAUAACUUCAGGAAACUGGGGCUAAUACCGGAUAGGAGCUCCUGCUGCAUGGUGGGGGUUGGAAAGUUUCGGCGGUUGGGGAUGGACUCGCGGCUUAUCAGCUUGUUGGUGGGGUAGUGGCUUACCAAGGCUUUGACGGGUAGCCGGCCUGGGAGGGUGACCGGCCACAUUGGGACUGAGAUACGGCCCAGACUCCGACGGGAGGCAGCAGUGGGGAAUAUUGCACAAUGGGCGGAAGCCUGAUGCAGCAACGCCGCGUGCGGGAUGACGGCCUUCGGGUUGUAAACCGCUUUCGCCUGUGACGAAGCGUGAGUGACGGUAAUGGGUAAAGAAGCACCGGCUAACUACGUG